GUAAUUGGAAUGAUUCAUUUAUGAGUAUAAAUUAGACCCACUUCAUGUUACUGAAGCCUAGCAGGAGGGAUGGUAUGGCUGGAAUGAUAAAAUCAAUAGUGAGAACCUAUUUAAGAUGAAUCAAUUAGGGGAGAAAAAGUAAGAAGAGUAGCAUUUUAUAAUAAAAGUGACUUUUCUUUCCUAUCUCAGGGGUAAAUGAUCUGCAGUGCUCAUAGAUCAGUGGUCUGUAAGAGAGAGCCAGAAACGCUGUGAGCAGCAGGUCCCCACAUCACACCUGAAUGGCUGGAAUAGUCUCUCCACACUGGGGACAAUUGUGUAGGAAAGAUGAAAAAAAUAAUGAAGAGUGAAGUCCAAAAACUUGAUACUUCAAAUGUUUCACAGAGAUGGGGGAAAAGAAAUGUGAGCCAAAAAGAUUGUUAAAAAGAAUUCAUAGUGAGGAAGACAGGAAUACCAUCUGGGGUUCUCAUAUAAGGAAGAGCAAGGAGAAACCAGGACUUGUCCACCCUGCAUGUGAAUAUAUGUGCCCAGUAUGAGGCUGUCCUGAGAUCUGGGAGAAGGAGUCUGAGGCCGUAAUCUCCCCUUCAUGCAGCCCAUGUGCUGAGGAGCCACCCAGAGCCUUACUGCAAAGGAA
Molecule: long non-coding RNA, 631 nt
Filed under: Numida meleagris (helmeted guineafowl)
Lineage: Eukaryota; Metazoa; Chordata; Aves; Galliformes; Numididae
Description: lncRNA (ENSNMEG00000014043.1)
Source: RNAcentral